ACAACUUUCAGCAACGGAUCUCUUGGCUCUCGCAUCGAUGAAGAACGCAGCGAAAUGCGAUAAGUAAUGUGAAUUGCAGAAUUCAGUGAAUCAUCGAAUCUUUGAACGCACCUUGCACUCCUUGGGUAUUCCGAGGAGUAUGCCUGUUUGAGUGUCAUUA
This 160-nucleotide ribosomal RNA is filed under the name Megacollybia platyphylla. RNAcentral's name for it is "5.8S ribosomal RNA". It matches the Rfam family "5.8S ribosomal RNA". Rfam says of the family: 5.8S ribosomal RNA (5.8S rRNA) is a component of the large subunit of the eukaryotic ribosome. It is transcribed by RNA polymerase I as part of the 45S precursor that also contains 18S and 28S rRNA. Functionally, it is thought that 5.8S rRNA may be involved in ribosome translocation. Lineage: Eukaryota; Fungi; Basidiomycota; Agaricomycetes; Agaricales; Porotheleaceae. The record is from RNAcentral.